UAUAGUAUCCUAGGGGUCCACUCCAGUCCCUGGUUACCUCGAAUUUUCCAGUCCCUGGAUGUCUCACCAGUGAAGGUUGUGAAACAGCAAAAAUGGCAGCCUGCACCCUCCUCUGGGAGCUCCAUCCCAAGAAGGUAGAAGAGUUAUCAGGUGACACUGGCUUCAGUUUCCACAAUAACAUCUGGACUAUCAAUGCAAGAAGCAAUGCAUGAGGCUAGACCAGAUAGCCUGCUCUCAUGUGCUGACAUUGGCCACACCUUGGGAAAAAAAUGUUGGCACUUCUUAGGAAGGAGCCAUCCAUGUCUGAAGAGAAGAAAUGAUAAUUAACUUCAUCAUGUGGAAAGCUUUAGAAGGAAGUAUCUUGUCCUUCUGUCCAAACCCGCCUCCUCCUCACCACCCCCAAUAAAAAUAAAAGCCAAACAAAUAAAACAUUAGCAGUAGCUCUGAGUUUCUUCCUUUCACUUUUUCUCUCUCUUCAUGCCUUUUCUCCUCCAUUCCUUCCUUCUUUCAAAUCAUUUUUACUAGUUUAAGAGAAUAAUUCAAUCUAUAUUUAGAAAUCGGACUUAAAACUUCAAAAAUUAUACUGAAAUAGCUUCCCCUUAAAGGGUGAAACAGUCAUGAUAA
Gorilla gorilla gorilla (western lowland gorilla) is the source of this 624-nucleotide long non-coding RNA. RefSeq lists it as uncharacterized. NCBI's taxonomy places the organism in Eukaryota, Metazoa, Chordata, Mammalia, Primates, Hominidae. The transcript has 3 exons. The record is from RefSeq and is a predicted model, not a curated record.